GAUGAACGCUGGCGGCGUGCCUAAUACAUGCAAGUCGAGCGAACGGACGAGAAGCUUGCUUCUCUGACGUUAGCGGCGGACGGGUGAGUAACACGUGGAUAACCUACCUAUAAGACUGGGAUAACUUCGGGAAACCGGAGCUAAUACCGGAUAAUAUCUUGAACCGCAUGGUUCAAUAGUGAAAGACGGUCUUGCUGUCACUUAUAGAUGGAUCCGCGCUGCAUUAGCUAGUUGGUAAGGUAACGGCCUACCAAGGCAACGAUGCAUAGCCGACCUGAGAGGGUGAUAGGCCACACUGGAACUGAGACACGGUCCAGACUCCUACGGGAGGCAGCAGUAGGGAAUCUUCCGCAAUGGGCGAAAGCCUGACGGAGCAACGCCGCGUGAGUGAUGAAGGUCUUCGGAUCGUAAAACUCUGUUAUUAGGGAAGAACAUAUGUGUAAGUAACUGUGCACGUCUUGACGGUACCUAAUCAGAAAGCCACGGCUAACUACGUG
This 497-nucleotide ribosomal RNA is filed under the name uncultured bacterium. RNAcentral's name for it is "partial 16S ribosomal RNA". It matches the Rfam family "Bacterial small subunit ribosomal RNA", at positions 28 to 507 of the family's 1533-position model. The record is from RNAcentral.